This is an RNA transcript of Rhipicephalus sanguineus (brown dog tick), 1829 nucleotides long. RefSeq lists it as uncharacterized. Lineage: Eukaryota; Metazoa; Arthropoda; Arachnida; Ixodida; Ixodidae. The transcript is spliced from 8 exons. The record is from RefSeq and is a predicted model, not a curated record.
GUGUUCAUCACGCCUACCACAGAUUGUCUAUUUUUGCUGAUGAGCACGCUGCAGCGGUCUAAAGACGUCCAAGUCAACAAUGAAUAAUAAAAAAGUCAACGGUAAUCGAACAUCAAUAGCCAUGUACGCACGCGUGCGCGUUCAAAGACGGUGGCAAAGAUUACCGACAUUGCUUGACACGGCUUGGCCUUGGCUUGACCGUAGAUGCACAGAACACUUAUGUAGAUACGUGGACUAUUUUUUUAGUGCUAGACAAAUUAUUAUUAGGCCCCUGCAAGUAGUACUUUAUAUUAUAUAUUCUGUUCAUUUCAUUAAAUCAAUAGCAAUUUAUAUUUUGACGUUAUGACUUGUUUUAACAGUAAUCUCUAGCCAAGCCAAAGACGAAGCGCCACGUUUUGACUUUGUCGACGGUCGGACACUUUUGUCUCGUGGUGCACGGCGUGUGAGCGUCAGGAUGUUCGCGUUAGUGCGAUUCUUGAACAGUUUUGAUAAGAAAGAGUAUAUAAUACCUGCCAAUAUCAUUAAGGAGUUUUACCCAGAAAGCAAGGAGGACUUCAUUAAAAGUAAAGUCUACAGGACAGAGUGGGUUGAUCAUGAAGACCCGGAAAACACAGGAUCGUACACGUGUAGAAUUCUGCUGCUGGCAGACUCGGAACAAGAGCGACAUAAACAAAGGGGCAGCAAGCGCCUUCCACGGCCUCUGAUACACCAGUCAGAUAUUGACCAAGAGGAAGAGCUCAUUGACCUGCAGCUGUCAGCAGUAAACACCAAGCAGACUGCAAAACAGGCACACAAAAAAAUGAAACAGGAUCAGGCAGCAUCAAGAAGUGCUGUUUAUGAGGAAAUUUUGAGCAAGCAUGCCUCUCGUGCCCUUGAAAAAAAUAAAGCCGCCCGAGCUUUGCAAACACCCUCAAACAGGCGUGUGGAGUUCAAUGAAGACACCACAAACAAAGAACGCAAACACAAGCAAAUGAGGAAAGAGACUUGACAACCUUAUGAGAGUGUGCUGAAAGAGCGCAAUGAACUGCGACAAGCGGUUGCCAAAAUCAAUUAAAGAAUUGAUCGAAUAGACGUGAAGCUUUCAAUGAUUGUAGAAAUGCUACAGGCGAGAAGUGCCCCUCAGCCUCAAAAGGCACAAAAAAGUGCCCCGCUUCUCGAGCAAGCACAACAGUCCCCUACAGAUCUGUGGGAGGAUGGCCAAGACCUUAAUGGUUUGGAUUACAAAGUUGAACCGUCACACACAGCCCCCACCACCAGCAGCACACGUGGACACUACAUCCAAGCCUGCUGCAGACGCACUCCCCACAGCUGCAGACCCAAAAGCCCACACUCCUUUUACUGACAUUGGUGAUGGCAAGUAUCACGUGAAAGAUGGCCUCAUGAUUGGAAGCAAGCAGGCAGAAAAAAUCCUGGGCCAUAAAAAAACCUUCACUCGUAAAGAAUAUGGCCCAAGCCAUAUGGGGUCGCGAAGGAUUGGCGGAGCGAAGUUAUGGAGGCAAAUUAGCCCCCAAGGACUACAAGAACCCCAACGCAGUCGUGCGGAAGCAACUGAGUCCACACAAGGUUGCUUUGAUUAUUGGUAAGAUUGUGGUCAAUUUAAUUGUGCUGUACAUAAUUAUGUAUCCCACGGCUGUUUUAAUUUCUGCCUCCUUUGCAGACACCGUGACACAUUGGGGGUCGAGGCGCGGAGUCCCAGUUAAGGAAACGCUGGACAAUUUGUCUACCAUUUUGUCUCAAAAAAUUCAAGACGUCAGGAGGACAAAGAGAAAGGAAGAUUGAAUGCUUCAAAAAUCUUUUCUUUUGACUUCACAUUAUUUCCUUUUUUUUUA